This is a long non-coding RNA of Bombina bombina (fire-bellied toad), 1162 nucleotides long. RefSeq lists it as uncharacterized. The record is from RefSeq and is a predicted model, not a curated record. The transcript has 3 exons. NCBI's taxonomy places the organism in Eukaryota, Metazoa, Chordata, Amphibia, Anura, Bombinatoridae.
CUGCAGCUCACCGGCCUUGGGAUUCAAUUUUCACUGAGCUCCACUUCCUCAUGCUGUGACGUCAUCAGCCAGCUGCUACUGAGCUUCCCUGCUCCCUCUGGCAAGUCGCCAUUACAACCCGGUGUUUGCAACUAUCAUAUUAACAGUCCUGUUAGGGUUGUGCCUGACAUAAUACUAAGCCCAAAACUAUGGACCCAGCUGGAAUGAACGCACAUGUGCAAAAUAUCACACAGAGGGUUGAUUUAUUAACUGAAGCUGUUAAUUCUCUGAAAACAGAAAAUGAUACUUUAAAAGCUUAUAUCAGGGAUGUGGUUGAUAAGAGAGUACCUAUAUUAGAACCACAGGUUAGUACACCAGAAAAAUUUAGUGGUGAGAGAUCUGAGUAUAGAGAUUUCAAGAAUGCUUGUUUGCUUAUGUUCUCCCUUAAACCUCAUACCUAUCCCACUGAUAGAGCAAGGGUACUCACAGUUAUAUCCUAUUUGAGAGGUGAGCCCCGCACAUGGGCCAACACUUACUUCGAGAAUAACGAUGAUAUACUUAAUUCGUUGGAAAGUUUUUUUUCUGCUAUGGGUCAGCUAUAUGAGGAUCCAUAUAAACAGCUUACUGCUGAAACUGCAAUGCGAGGCUUGAAACAAAAGAAAAGAGUAGUUGAAGAUUACAUUGCCGAAUUUAAAAAAUGGGCGAAAGACACUCAAUGGAAUGACCUUUCACUGAGAAAUCAGUUUAGAUUAGGCCUUUAAGAAGGAAUUAAGGAUGAGUUGUCUAGAUCUGAACUACCACAUACUCUUGAGGCUUUAAUGUCACUUAGCAUAACUAUAGACAGAAGACUGAGAGAGAGACAGCAGGAGAGAUCAUUUCAUGAAUAUCCUGCAAAGAAACAAAAUACACCCAGCCCCAGCAAAUCAACUGCUGAACCUAUGGAUAUAGGUUUUAUAAAGGGACCAUUAACCCCUGAGGAGAAGAUCCGACGAAGGGUUAAUAACCUCUGUUUAUACUGUGCUUCAGACAAACACACUGUCAGGGACUGUCCUUCCCUCCUGAAACAAAACAAGGUGGGAGUCACAUCGAAUCAACGCUCCCGCGAUUAUUGACUCAGGAGCUACAGCAUCUUACAUAGAUACUGUAUUCACUAAAUUCAAUAAAAUUCCACUUGUGCAAAAAA